CAGUCAUAGUGCCGUCUGACUGAUGUUGUGCUUGUGCACUCAGCACCAGGCGUCGACUCACACAAGAUCGCGAUGAAACUUAUUCGAGGUGGAUUCGUUAAAUUUUUUCGAAAUCGCUUUCUGUUUUCCCUGCCAUUCGGGUAGCAGAAAGUUAAAUUAAUAGAAUAGGCUAAGCAUGUAGAACCGACGGUAGAGAAUUUGCGGACGCGGGUUCGAUUCCCGCCGCCUCCACCA
Molecule: transfer-messenger RNA, 234 nt
Filed under: Gammaproteobacteria bacterium
Lineage: Bacteria; Pseudomonadati; Pseudomonadota; Gammaproteobacteria
Description: partial transfer-messenger RNA
Rfam family: transfer-messenger RNA
About the family: Bacterial tmRNA, also known as 10Sa RNA or SsrA, is named for its dual tRNA and mRNA-like properties. Its role is to liberate the mRNA from a stalled ribosome. To accomplish this part of the tmRNA is used as a reading frame that ends in a translation stop signal.
Source: RNAcentral